UAGCAGUGAGGAAUUUUCCGCAAUGGGCGAAAGCCUGACGGAGCAAUGCCGCUUGAAGGACGAAGGCCUGUGGGUUGUAAACUUCUUUUCUCAGAGAAGAAAUAAUGACGGUAUCUGAGGAAUAAGCAUCGGCUAACUCUGUGCCAGCAGCCGCGGUAAGACAGAGGAUGCAAGCGUUAUCCGGAAUGAUUGGGCGUAAAGCGUCUGUAGGUGGCUUGAAAAGUCUCCUGUCAAAGAUCAGGGC
This 244-nucleotide ribosomal RNA is filed under the name uncultured bacterium. Its description in RNAcentral is "partial 16S ribosomal RNA". It matches the Rfam family "Bacterial small subunit ribosomal RNA", at positions 349 to 608 of the family's 1533-position model. The record is from RNAcentral.